RNAcentral lists this ribosomal RNA (506 nucleotides) under Dicrurus paradiseus (greater racket-tailed drongo). Its description in RNAcentral is "partial 16S ribosomal RNA". It matches the Rfam family "Bacterial large subunit ribosomal RNA", at positions 1858 to 2574 of the family's 2925-position model. The record is from RNAcentral. Lineage: Eukaryota; Metazoa; Chordata; Aves; Passeriformes; Dicruridae.
CCUGCCCGGUGACCUAGUGUUAAACGGCCGCGAUAUCCUAAUCGUGCAAAGGUAGCGCAAUCAAUUGUCUCAUAAAUCGAGACCUGUAUGAAUGGCUAAACGAGGUCUUAACUGUCUCUUACAGGCAAUCGGUGAAAUUGAUCUCCCUGUGCAAAAGCAGGGAUAAACACAUAAGACGAGAAGACCCUGUGGAACUUCAAAAUAAGCAGCCACACUACAACACAUUCACACCCACUGGGUUCACGCAUAUAAAGUCUCUGGCAUGCAUUUUUCGGUUGGGGCGACCUUGGAGAAAAACAGAUCCUCCAAAAAUUGGACCAAAACUCUAGACUAAGAGCGACUUCUCAACGUGCUAAUAGCACCCAGACCCAAUAUAAUUGAUCAAUGGACCAAGCUACCCCAGGGAUAACAGCGCAAUCUCCUCCGAGAGUCCGUAUCGACGAGGGGGUUUACGACCUCGAUGUUGGAUCAGGACAUCCUAGUGGUGCAGCCGCUACUAAGGGUUC